GGGCAUAAUCUCUUAAUUUGAUUUGAGAGUCACUCCGGAAGACGUUUCUGCGUUAUUUGUCUAAUUUCAUCAUCACAUUUAAGCUGGGCAUCUCUUAAUUUGAUCUGAAGUGGAUAUUUCUGCAUCACUCGUCCAAUUCUAUUCUGAUAUUUGAGAUGGAAGAAAUUGGGACUUGUAUUGCGACCAAGCUUGCAGAAUGUCUAUGGGAUCCAAUUUCACGUCGUGCCCGUUAUUUGUUUUGCUUCAACCAAUACAUUGAGGAUGUUGAGAA
Molecule: long non-coding RNA, 271 nt
Organism: Neltuma alba
Lineage: Eukaryota; Viridiplantae; Streptophyta; Magnoliopsida; Fabales; Fabaceae
Exons: 3
Source: RefSeq, a predicted model, not a curated record